This 73-nucleotide transfer RNA is filed under the name Bos taurus (domestic cattle). It matches the Rfam family "tRNA". From Rfam's summary of the family: Transfer RNA (tRNA) molecules are approximately 80 nucleotides in length. Their secondary structure includes four short double-helical elements and three loops (D, anti-codon, and T loops). Lineage: Eukaryota; Metazoa; Chordata; Mammalia; Artiodactyla; Bovidae. The record is from Rfam by way of RNAcentral. RNAcentral also lists the same sequence under 3 other names.
UCCGUGGUAGUCCAGUGGCCAAGACUCUGUGCUCCCAACGCAGGAGCCCUGGGUUCGAUCCCUGGUCCGGGAA